AAAGGAAGACAUCUACAGUUGCAUGGUCUCCUGACCCUACAUUUGUUGCUGAAGAUGGUGUUGAGCAUGAUGCUGGGCUGAAGUUAGCUCUUCCCAUGUUCUUUAAUGAGGAAGUGAAACCAUGCAGGUUCCUUCCCACUGGUGCUCCAAAGUGCCUACUGCUUGGACGUGGACUGAAGUAGGUGUUUACCGGGAACACAGUCCGGGGAUCCUGACUUAGAGAUCAUUAUGCUGGCUACGCUUUGUUAAAGAAAAAUUUUUUCACGACAUUUGUUAAAGUCGGUAGAGCACUCAAGUGCCUAAUCCAGAAAGAAGAUGGUGCCGAGGAUGUCAUGCCUCAUCAGUAGAGCUUCCUGGGAGGGCACGGGGCCGAUUUUGGCAUUUUGGCGCCGAGGUGCUGAAAGUGAAGAAUAAAAGUCUACAACAAUCAAUAAAUAUCCCUUGCACACAUUCAUAAAGGACUGCAUUAUUAUUAUUUUUUUUUGGUGGAGAAGAUUGGCCCUGAACUAACAUCUGUUGCCAAUCUUCCUCUUGUUUUUGCUGACGAAGAUUGGCCCUGAGUUAACGUCUGUGACCAUCUUCCUCUAUUUUGUAUGUGGGAUGCUGCCACAGCAUGGCUUGAUGAGUGAUGCAUGGAUCCGUGCUCGGGAUCCGAACCUGAGAACCCCGGGUUGCUGAAGCAGAGUCCACGAACCCAACCACUACGCCACCAGGCUGGCCCCAAGGACUGCAUCAUUUUUAAUAUGAAAUGACUCCAAUGGGUUUUCUUGUGCCUUGAUAAUAUCAUAACUAUUCUUUGCUUUUCGUUUGCAAGUAUGUGCUUUGUCUUUGUUCAUUCUUUCCUUUUAAAGAUUUAUUUCUUUUGUUUCAGAUUAUUUUUACAUAUUUUAACACUAUC
Molecule: long non-coding RNA, 898 nt
Organism: Diceros bicornis minor
Lineage: Eukaryota; Metazoa; Chordata; Mammalia; Perissodactyla; Rhinocerotidae
Exons: 4
Source: RefSeq, a predicted model, not a curated record